RNAcentral lists this ribosomal RNA (774 nucleotides) under uncultured Neocallimastigales. RNAcentral's name for it is "partial large subunit ribosomal RNA". It matches the Rfam family "Eukaryotic large subunit ribosomal RNA", at positions 23 to 643 of the family's 3401-position model. The record is from RNAcentral. Lineage: Eukaryota; Fungi; Neocallimastigomycota; Neocallimastigomycetes; Neocallimastigales.
ACACGCAUGACACACUGCAUAUCAAUAAGCGGAGGAAAAGGAACUAACAAGGAUUCCCUUAGUAACGGCGAGUGAAGCGGGAAGAGCUCAAAUUUGAAAUCUUCAAGGUUCUACCUUGACGAAUUGUAGUUUAUAGAAGUGUUUUCUGUUAGUAGAGUGGCAAAAGUUCUUUGGAAUAGGACAUCAUAGAGGGUGAGAAUCCCGUAUUUGGUCAUUCCUUCCUAGCUUUGUGAUACACUUUCAACGAGUCGGAUUGUUUGGGAAUGCAGUCCAAAAUGGGUGGUAAAUUUCAUCUAAAGCUAAAUAUUGGCGAGAGACCGAUAGCGAACAAGUACCGUGAGGGAAAGAUGAAAAGAACUUUGAAAAGAGAGUUAAACAGUACGUGAAAUUGUCAAAAGGGAAGCGUUUGACACCAGUGUUGUUUAGUUGAAAAUCAAUUCAAUAGUUUUUGAUUCUAAGUAGUAUUGACUUCAUCAGCUUGCUGCUUUCUUCUCAGAAAUUAUUGAAUGCACUUUUCAGUUAACAAGUCAACAUCAAUUUCUUUUGUUGUAAAAGGGUAAGAGGAAGGUGGCUUGCGCUUCGGCUCAAGUGUUUAUAGCCUUUUAUCUCUGCAAUCGGAGAGAUUGAGGUCUGCAGCGUAGAUCCUUCGGGGUUAGAUACAUUGGUGCUAAGCUAUAGCCUUGUAUAGACAACUUGUUGACUAUGCUCAGUCAUGUAGCUUACUCGCUGAUGCUAUUUUACCUACGCUUAGGAUGUUGACUGAUAUGUAGUCGU